Molecule: ribosomal RNA, 552 nt
Filed under: Schizotetranychus bambusae
Lineage: Eukaryota; Metazoa; Arthropoda; Arachnida; Trombidiformes; Tetranychidae
Description: eukaryotic LSU rRNA
Rfam family: Eukaryotic large subunit ribosomal RNA
Source: RNAcentral
AACGAGAUUCCCACUGUCCCUAACUACUAUCUAGCGAAACCACAGCCAAGGGAACGGGCUUGGCAAAAUCAGCGGGGAAAGAAGACCCUGUUGAGCUUGACUCUAGUCUGACUUUGUGAAGAGACAUGAGAGGUGUAGCAUAAGUGGGAGCUUUGGGACCAAUCUUAGCUUUAGCUUCGGCUUUAGUUGAGACCCCUUGGCGAUCAUGAAAUACCACUACUCUCAUCGUUUCUUUACUUACACGGUAAAAAGGAAGUUGGGAUAGUGCCUCUCUCUUCUGGACUUCGGUUCAUGAACGAGGAGGCCACCUAUCUCUAAAUUCUAGAGCAAAAUGUGGUUCCAACCAUACAUGCCUCAAGACACCUAAAGUUGUCUUGUUUCUUCUCGGAGAGACUUGACUCUUUAAAGACUUGGGUUUGGUUGGUAACCCGUGUAUAUAUGUACUUGUACAUAUUUUACACAAACUGCAUGAUCCUCGCCGUGGACACUGUCAGGCGGGCAGUUUGACUGGGGCGGUACAUCUGUCAAAAGGUAACGCAGGUGUCCUAAGGC